Molecule: ribosomal RNA, 563 nt
Filed under: Fusarium solani
Lineage: Eukaryota; Fungi; Ascomycota; Sordariomycetes; Hypocreales; Nectriaceae
Description: eukaryotic LSU rRNA
Rfam family: 5.8S ribosomal RNA (bases 186-339)
Source: RNAcentral
GGGUCUCCGUUGGUGAACCAGCGGAGGGAUCAUUACCGAGUUAUACAACUCAUCAACCCUGUGAACAUACCUAAAACGUUGCUUCGGCGGGAACAGACGGCCCUGUAACAACGGGCCGCCCCCGCCAGAGGACCCCUAACUCUGUUUUUAUAAUGUUUUUCUGAGUAAACAAGCAAAUAAAUUAAAACUUUCAACAACGGAUCUCUUGGCUCUGGCAUCGAUGAAGAACGCAGCGAAAUGCGAUAAGUAAUGUGAAUUGCAGAAUUCAGUGAAUCAUCGAAUCUUUGAACGCACAUUGCGCCCGCCAGUAUUCUGGCGGGCAUGCCUGUUCGAGCGUCAUUACAACCCUCAGGCCCCCGGGCCUGGCGUUGGGGAUCGGCGGAAGCCCCCUGUGGGCACACGCCGUCCCUCAAAUACAGUGGCGGUCCCGCCGCAGCUUCCAUUGCGUAGUAGCUAACACCUCGCAACUGGAGAGCGGCGCGGCCAUGCCGUAAAACACCCAACUUCUGAAUGUUGACCUCGAAUCAGGUAGGAAUACCCGCUGAACUUAAGCAUAUCAAUAG